CUCUACUUCUCCCUUUCUCUCUUUCCAUUUGUCUCUGAUAGACGAACAGUGGAUCAAUCUGGUGUUGCUCGUGACAGGUCGUCGUCGAGUGUGCCGAGCACUGUUGAUUGCGAGCGAUGCGACAGCAUUGGCGGCGUCGUUCAGAUGAGUAAGCGCCUUCAUUAGCGGAGGGUAUAUAUAUCGCUGACGAUUGUGGCUUCCUCUAGGAUAAUUACGAUCGGCCCCGAGCGCGCGCGAGCGCAACUGGUACACAGAGAGUACAAAGAGAAGAAGAAGAAGAAGAGGAGGCGGAGGAAGAAGAAGAAGAAGAGCAAGAGAGAGACGGUCGGCGCGAGACGUCAGGUCGAACGGCUGAUCACACACGAGAGUUUACAAAGCGCGAUAUCGCGUCGAUGUCGAGUUGUUCGCGAGCCUCCGCGAUAUUUCCGUCGUUCAUUACCAAAUACCACAACGUGCGCCUUACUGAUGCAAGAGGAGGAGGAAGAAGAUGAAUAAGCAAGCCUAACUUGGGAUCAACGGAUUAACGAGAUCAUACCCACAGACACUCGCGCGCGCACGCAUAUACACACACACGUACGCGCACGUAGUCACACGCAUACACGCACACAUAGAUACACACAAGCACAAACACAGAUACACAACGCAGUUUUGUAACGCGAGGAUCGCAAGCCGUCGGUGAUACUUGUUCGCACGCGAGCACGCGGCCGCACGCGCGCAUCGGCGAGAUGCGCGAUUUCCUACAAAACUGCGGCGUCUGAAAGGUCGUGAUCGAUCGACUCAAUUUGAUAAUCUAAAAGAACCUCCAGCAUAUACAAGGUCGUUAUGUAUAAGCGAUAAGGCAGGAGCUCUGUCUACGGCUGAAAAGUGAAGGAGGAGGUGACUGGAGAGGUGCUCUCUUUCUCUCUCUCUCUCUCUCUCUCUCUCUCUCUCUCUCGGGCAGCUGGUACGUGGCCUAUCUAUCGCGACGUGAUUUACAAGGACCUACUUUUGAGGAAGCAUCGAACUCGUGGAGACUCGCGGAUAUAGCGGCUUAGUCAAGCUCGCCGAUCUGCUCUCGCGUAAUGUCGAGCUCGGCACACCACGAAGAGGCGUGCUCGGUGCUCGACGGCGGAGCGCGCUGUAUCGAUCGCGAGAUCGUCGCCCGCGUUCUUCGAGUUUCCAGGAGGAAGCUCACGACAAUAGAACGCCCGUCGGCCAAACGCUCACGGAGAAUCGUCCAUUGAAUGCUCGUCGGGCCGCGCUACGUGCUACCUUCGCAAAGCGUCGUGGCGAAUCACGUCUCUAGUUUUGUACGUCGAGGAACCCGUGAGAAGGUUCAAUGAGACCUUCGUCGGCCUAUACGACGCCAGGCAGCCAGGCAGCCAGCCAGCCGGCCAGAUCGCCGCACGUCGUACCAGCACAUUCGGAAACAUCGAGCUAAUAAACACGGCCUCGCUCAAUGCCUCCUGGUGAAGAAGGCAAUCGCGAUCGCGUACACUUGACCCCUGCUCAACUGCCGGACGACUCGUCGUGGCCGUGGCGAACGAUGCUCGACAGUUGAUCCCGGUUGACGCAAGCAACGUCCAACGCCAGAGUUCCAGCACCACGCGCUCUACGAGAAAGCGAUGAUCGGCUGCCUGUAGAUCGGCGCGCUCGAUGAGUCGUCGUAGAAUCGAGCGUCGAGCAGCAGCCAGCACCGCCCGCCGGGGUAGCCGAAGAGGAAGCUUCGCAUCGCGUCGUCCCCUUCUCGAGAGCCGUCUUGGGUGAUGCGCGGAAGCAGCUCCGAACUCCUGCUGGAGCCGGGCUGCAGCCAGUGCCAGUGCGACCACGAUCGGCAUCAGCGUCGAGACAGCGGCAGCGGCGGCGGCGGCGGCGGCGGCGGCGGCGGCGGCGGCGACGGCGGCGGACACGACUUCCACGAGCGGGAGCUACGUCGUCGCAAGCUGUUGGAGCUCGGGUUCGGCGCGUCGCGGCGCCGACCGCCACGGCGUACCUGCCGUCAGCGGUUUAAUUUCUACGCCACGUCAGCGCUGGCCUUCGUCGCGACCUCCGGCGGCGCGGCGCUCCUCUUCCUGGUGCCGCUCUACGUCGACCCGGCCAUCAGCACCUUGGCGGCGGACUUCUCGCCGGAGCCGGUCAUCUGCACCACCUCCCGCCGCGAGGAGCUCGCCGGUCUCUUCAACUGCACAUGGAGCUCGUGUCGCGAGGGCUGCACCAGUGACGUGUACAGGUGCACCCAUAUAUACGUCACCUAUACGCCGUGGAGUAACGCCAGCAUGAGGAACGAGACCGGCGGCAAGAACGCCACUGCGAACGCCACUGCGAACGCCACCGCCGCUCCGGCCACUGUCACUGCCGUGUCCUCCCCGGGGGACGUCGAGGCGGUGCUCCUGGUGAACAUCAAGGGCUGCGGAUACCCGCCGGUAGUCGAUUGCGAGAACUUCACCCGCGAGUUGGGUUACGAGGGCGCGAAGUUUCCCUGCCAUUACAGCCGGAUGAACGGUAGCAUAGUGAUGGCGAACUAUAAUCGCGAGGCACAGGUCGCUACCAUCAUGCACUUCUUCGCGGCUCCUUUCGUAGUGACUCUCGCGACCAGCGUCGCGCUGUGUGUGAUGCACUGUGACUGCAGAUGCACGCCGCCGCCGCGACACCCGCCACGCGGCAUAAGAAGAUCCAGGGGCAACGAUCUCAGCUGCUGCAUGAGUAUAAAAAAUCGAUAACGGGUUAGAAGCGUGCCAGAAGUCGUCCGUUUUAGAAGGUGUAUUUGACGAGGCAAAUAAACUUUCUAAACCAUACUUAACGAGACGAAGCGACUUAACAAAGAGAGAUGUGUUACUACCAGCGUACUUACACUGUCGUCGUGAUACGGUGCUAAACACUUUUGGCUGCGAAUACUGCCUUAGAAGAAGAGAGAGAGCGAAUCGCAGAAACGGAAAUCGGAUAUCGAUUCAUCAUACUCUAAUCUCCGCUAAUUAGCUCCAAGUGGCGCACCACGUCUCAUUAACGAAACGAGUGUGCGCCGCCGAAAGCCGUGACUGCGGCCUCCGUGCAACGCAAUGUGAACACGUAAAAAGAGAUCUCUCUAGUCUUAUCGAUCGGACGCCGUAAGUAAUUCCGUGAACUCGGAACAAUAUCGACAGCAGCUCUCUCGCAUGGACGUUUUGCGCGGACGUUGCGUGAACACACGCGGAGAGCAGCCGCGUGUGACUCGCGUAAUCGACACCCAUACACACACACACACAUGUCUCUCCUUCUUCCA
This 3238-nucleotide unclassified non-coding RNA is filed under the name Harpegnathos saltator (Jerdon's jumping ant). RNAcentral describes it as "uncharacterized LOC105185665, transcript variant X2". Lineage: Eukaryota; Metazoa; Arthropoda; Insecta; Hymenoptera; Formicidae. The record is from RNAcentral.